AGUUGUGGUUAGGGGUGAAAGGCCAAUCAAACUCGGAGAUAUCUGGUUCUCACCGAAAUGCCUUUAGGGGCAGCGUCACAUUAAAGUGUAUCGGGGGUAGAGCACUGAAUGGGCUAGGGGGCCUACAAGCUUACCGACCCCAAUCAAACUCCGAAUACCGAAUACAUGUUUUGUGGCAGUGAGGCUGCGGGGGAUAAGCUCCGUAGCCAAGAGGGAAACAACCCAGAUCAUCAGCUAAGGUCCCUAAGUCAAUACUAAGUGAUAAAGGAUGUUAAAUCGCCCAGACAGCUAGGAGGUUGGCUUAGAAGCAGCCAUCCUUUAAAGAAAGCGUAAUAGCUCACUAGUCAAGGGGUUUUGCGCCUAUAAUUUCCGGGACUAAGUAUUGCACCGAAGCUAUGGAUUUUAAUAGUUUACUAUUAAAGUGGUAGGUGAGCGUUCUAUUAACCUGUGAAGGUUGACCCGUGAGGGCAGCUGGAGGAGAUGGAAAUGAGUAUGCUGGCAUGAGUAGCGAUAAACACGGUGAAAUACCGUGUCGCCGAAAGUCCAAGGUUUCCUGAGUAAAGUAACUCUGCUCAGGGUUAGUCGGACCCUAAGCCGAGGCCGAAAGGCGUAGGCGAUGGAAAACGGGUUUAAUAUUCCCGUACCAGUUUUUAAUCGUUAUAACUAUGGGGGGACGCAGAAGUGAAAGGUCAGCCCGGUUUUGAUUGUCCGGGUUUAAGUGCGUAGAAGGGUUUGGUAGGUAAAUCCGCCGAACUAUUAACUUUGAGACACGAAUAGGAGGGCUUAGCCCAUAAACUGACCCUAAUCCUGCUGCCAAGAAAAUCCUCUGUGUAAGAUUAUAAACUGACCGUACCCUAAACGGACACACGUGGACGAGGAGAGUAUCCUAAGGCGCUUGAGAGAAUCCAGGUUAAGGAACUCGGCAAAUUAACCCCGUAACUUCGGGAGAAGGGGUGCCUUGAUUAGGUGAACACCUUUACGGUGGAAGCUGAAAAAGGCCGCAGUGACCAGGCCCAAACGACUGUUUACUAAAAACACAGGUCUCUGCUAAAUCGUAAGAUGAAAUAUAGGGACUGACACCUGCCCGGUGCCGGAAGGUUAAAUGGAAGUGUUAGCUUCGGCAAAGCUCCGAAAUGAAGCCCCGGUAAACGGCGGCCGUAACUAUAACGGUCCUAAGGUAGCGAAAUUCCUUGUCGGGUAAGUUCCGACCUGCACGAAUGGUGCAACGAUUUGGGCACUGUCUCAACCUGGAGCUCAGCGAAAUUGAAGUGUCGGUGAAGAUACCGGCUACCCGCGGCAGGACGAAAAGACCCCGUGAACCUUUACUACAACUUAGUAUUGAAUUUUUGUUAUGCAUGUACAGGAUAGGUGGGAGGCUUUGAAGCGUGGACGCUAGUUCAUGUGGAGCCAACCUUGAAAUACCACCCUUGUAUUGCGAGACUUCUAAUCCCGACCCGUGAAUCCGGGCGAGAG
RNAcentral lists this ribosomal RNA (1473 nucleotides) under metagenome. RNAcentral's name for it is "bacterial LSU rRNA". It matches the Rfam family "Bacterial large subunit ribosomal RNA", at positions 807 to 2250 of the family's 2925-position model. The record is from RNAcentral.